AAUCGCGGAUCAGAAUGCCGCGGUGAAUACGUUCCCGGGUCUUGUACACACCGCCCGUCACACCAUGGGAGUCGGAAAUGCCCGAAGCCUGUAGUCUAACCGCAAGGAGGACGCAGUCGAAGGUGGGAUUGAUGACUGGGGUGAAGUCGUAACAAGGUACC
This 161-nucleotide ribosomal RNA is filed under the name uncultured bacterium. RNAcentral describes it as "partial 16S ribosomal RNA". It matches the Rfam family "Bacterial small subunit ribosomal RNA", at positions 1340 to 1500 of the family's 1533-position model. The record is from RNAcentral.